Molecule: long non-coding RNA, 2684 nt
Organism: Solea solea (common sole)
Lineage: Eukaryota; Metazoa; Chordata; Actinopteri; Pleuronectiformes; Soleidae
Exons: 3
Source: RefSeq, a predicted model, not a curated record
UAGAUUGACCCUAGUCUGGUUGUAUUUGGCAGAUGAGCUCCAGAUGCUCCUUUGUACCGAGGGACACGGGACCACGUAACGGUUGGGGUCCGCUUUCCUCCCCAGCAGCUACUCGGGUGUCGGUGUUGUUACAAUGUUGCCGUGGCGACGGACAGGAAGCAGGAUGUCGUGCGCCUCGCAACAAAGAUCGUCGACGGUGUUUGCGGGCGACUAACUCUGUCAUCGUCUUACCAGCUCGGAGCUCGCGUUGCCUUUCAUGUGUUCCAGAAAGGAGUGUCGAGGUCCACGCGCUUCCUCGAAAGCGGCCACAGCGUGACUUUGUUCCCACGGAAACGUAACCGCGCAGGUAUUUGUGUCACUCACACACACACACUUUGACAACGAGCCUUAGAUCAGAGCAGACACAUGGUCGCAUACAGAGAGGACAGAGGGAUGAUGCUGCUGCCGUAGGAGAGCGCGACCCCAAAUGACCUGUGACAUGAAAAAUUAAUUCUAGGCUAUAAGACGGAGAUAACUGCGUACUCGCAUUGUACUUGUACUUCUGGCGCAAACGAGUAGCAUUUUUAGUAUAUGUGUACGGGCCAAGUGUUUGCGCACUUUAUUUUCUAAAGAGUAUUAUUUCUACCAAAGGUUCCGCCUCGCCAAAAGGCCUAACGCAAUAGUGGUUAUGCCAAUGUCAUUAAAUAUCUUGUAGUAUAUAAAUCCAAAAAGUGAAAUACAAGUUAACACGAUAUCAAUCUAGUGUUGCUUCAAUGUAGUAUUUAGUUAAGAAGUAAUGUGCAAUGUCAAGCGAUAUGUUUUAAUCUAGGGCAAGUCGUUCAAAACAAAUGUGUAGCAACCGUUAGUGAAAUACAUACGUGGAAAAUGUAAUGUUGGGGAUCAUUUAAUGUAGUAAUGAACGAAUGAACGUGUUUAUCUGUCUGCGUCGCACAAAAUGUGGUCUGAACGCGGGGCUUUGUCCCCGAUUAAUGAGCCACAUUCUAAGUACCGAGUAAGUAAAAAAAAACACGAAGCGAUCUGUAUUUAUGUAUGUAUUUGUUGAUAGAUGUAUUUAUUUUUUGAUUGAUUGAUUGAUUGAUAAGUUAAAAAAAUCCAUUCUUCUGUCGCCCGUCGCAUCCAAAUGUACUUUGGCAUUUAUUUAAUGUAAAAACGUGUCACGUGUGAGCUACUGCUGGACUGUAAUCCAAAAAAAAAAAAAAAUCACUAAAUAGGGUGAGUAGUGAUCAGAAUUAUUUAAAUGCUGGAAAAUUCAAAGUACGUAUUUAUUAAUGUAUUUAUAGUGUAAUAAAAAUAUAUACUAAGUAUUUUAGAUAGCAAUGAAAUGCGAUACGUAGUUGAUUUAUUUCUACCACAGAAAAAUAAAAAGAACGGAGUCGACUCAUCUCCUAAGUGUAAAAUGUUGUUUUAUUUAGAUGUUUUAUACUGUGCAACAGUAACAAUACAAUAACGUGUCCAUACAGUCGAGCGAUACAAAUACGGGAGACAUCAAAACACGGUGAAGUGAGCGUGAAAUGGGAGCCCAAGUAAUUCGUUCCGAACAAAAGGGUAGAGUCGGAGAAAUGACGUCAUCGCUGAUUAAAUAUGCAUUUUAGUUUCUAUUUACACGUGGAUUCUCUAAAGUCGCUCAACUGGGAUGAUUCCACUGCGGCUACAAGAAAGAAAGCAAGGGCAUUUGAUGUGUGUUUUAUGUAUUCUUGUUCCAUGAAGCCAGAAGCAGAGAGAGGAUUUGUCUUUCUUUUCCAAAAAAAAUGUAUAGGCUAAAAAAUCCCAGCACGCAUGAAGGAGCUACUCAUGAUACACACGUAGAAGAAAAAAAAAAACCAAAACUGAAAGGCAAAUCUAAACGUGGAUUCUUUUCAGUCGCUUUUGUAAAAUAAAGAUGCAGCUUUUCAAGGAAGAAGGGACAGUGUGUCCUUCCCUCCAAAGUCCUUUUCUUUUCUUUUCUUUCACGGUAAAAUCCACUACGUUUAAAUCUUUACAUGUGAUGUUUUGUGUUUAUAUAUAUUCAUAACAACAAAAGAGAGAGAGAGAUACAACAUUGUCUAGACAAUGGGACUACGUUGGCAUGGAAACGGUGGCGGCAGAGUCGUGCGUCAUCCGGAGUUGGUGGACGAGCCGUUCAGGGACACCUUCCGCGGCUUGUUGACGCCGCCGGGGCUGAAGUGGGUGAAGGACCGACUGGGGGUCGGGGGAGCACCAGCAGUAGCAGCAGCAGCAGCAGGAGGAAGAGGAGCAGCAGCAGCGGGACUUCCGUUGACGUUGCCGUGCGGAUGAGGAGACUGCGCGGGAGUGGCGGGGCUCGGCAGGGAAGAGGAGGCGGACGGAGCCCCGGCGGGACUCCCGGCUUUGUCGCUGGCGGAGUCGCUCUCCGGUCCGGAUCUGCUGGCGCUGUCGCGACUCUCCCGCUGCUUGUGGCCGACCUUCAUCUUCUUGCAGUUGGGUCGGACUCGGUACUUGAGCGGCAGAGGACCGUUCUGUGGACGACAGUGAAGAAAAGUGCGCAUGGGUACGGGAACUAGGCAAAGUGCUAGCUAAUGUAUGCAGGUGUCCCGUCAGAGCCAGGUGCCGGCAGCAGCCCCAUAAAGAGCAGCGGGCCUCCUGAAGCGGCAGCUCCAGCGGCAGCCUCCUCGGACGAAGACUUCGAGGACAAAGACGAAGGAGUCUUGCAGGAGUCUGGCGGGGAG